ACUACGGGAGGCAGCAGUGGGGAAUAUUGCGCAAUGGGCGAAAGCCUGACGCAGCGACGCCGCGUGAGGGAUGAAGGUCUUCGGAUCGUAAACCUCUGUCAGCAGGGAAGAACGGUCACUGUGCUAAUCAGCAGUGAAUUGACGGUACCUGCAAAGGAAGCACCGGCUAACUCCGUGCCAGCAGCCGCGGUAAUACGGAGGGUGCGAGCGUUAAUCGGAAUUACUGGGCGUAAAGCGCUCGUAGGCGGUAUGUCAAGUCAAGGGUGAAAUCCCCGCGCUAAACGUGGGAACUGCCUUUGAAACUGGGAAACUGGAGUGUGUGAGAGGAUAGUGGAAUUCCAGGUGUAGGAGUGAAAUCCGUAGAGAUCUGGAGGAACAUCAGGGGCGAAGGCGACUAUCUGGCACAUAACUGACGCUGAGGAGCGAAAGCGUGGGUAGCAAACAGGAUUAGAUACCCCGGUAGUC
RNAcentral lists this ribosomal RNA (465 nucleotides) under uncultured bacterium. RNAcentral describes it as "partial 16S ribosomal RNA". It matches the Rfam family "Bacterial small subunit ribosomal RNA", at positions 338 to 795 of the family's 1533-position model. The record is from RNAcentral.